This is a non-coding RNA of Vicugna pacos (alpaca), 950 nucleotides long. NCBI's taxonomy places the organism in Eukaryota, Metazoa, Chordata, Mammalia, Artiodactyla, Camelidae. The record is from RefSeq and is a predicted model, not a curated record.
CCAGGCAGGCAGAGGAAGGAAGGGUGGUGUGAUGGCAGCGCAGGCCAGGCAAGGCCCAGGGGGUGUGGGACGUGAUCUGGGCCCGGGGCUGAAUGGACGCCAGCAGCGGUGGAGAAGGAGGGGCCAGAGUGGCCUGGGGGCAGGGCUGAUGGCCACAACAUUAACAGCAGAAGGGCCAUGGGCCGGAGGAGGGACCCACAGCUCUACAGGCGAGGCUGAAAGAGAGGAAGCUGACCCUGGGAGGAAGCUCCCCACUGGCAGAGGAAGGAGGCCCCAAGCAGCCAAGCGGCCAGCAAGCCCCCGGUAAGAUCGCAUCUACAGGUCCGGAGGAUGAAGAUCUGAACCUCUUCGGGAACCAUCCGCAGCCUGUCACAACGAGGCCGUUGACUGCCCUGCUGAGUCCUCUGUUGGUCUAGUUUUCUGUCCCUAAUAGCGGCCACCAGAGUCCUCCUGCAGAAAGAAGAGAAUAGGACCCCUGUCACUGGACCAGUGGGGAGCGAGGACAAGAAAACAGAGAAGAGGGUGCCGGCAAUCAUAGGUCCUGGGAAGUGAGGGUGCGGGGACCCCCAGGUGCCCGGCCAGCUGCAAGGGUGAGAUGCCCGGCAAGCACGGGGAGGCAGCGCCAGCAGGUGGCCCCGCCCGGGGUCCUUCUUAGCGCAGCCGACAGCGUCCAGAGGCUCCACCCAAAGGGCCUCAUCCCCCACAGCCUCUUCUGCCUGGGGAAACCCGGAGGCCCAUCGCUCCUGAACUCCACUCCCUCCUUCCGUGACUCCCUCACCAGCCUCCCCAGUGCUGCCAGAGCGGCCUCGCUCCAGGCAUGAUCGCCUCCCCAUUAGCUGCAGAAAUAACGAUUUGCAAAAUUGGGCGGAAGUUAUACUCAGUAGUUUGGUGGUUAAAUCUGACGCUGUGGAUAUUUCUCCUCCAAAAGAAUUAAAUGCCUCUUUCACGGA